Molecule: long non-coding RNA, 1300 nt
Filed under: Homo sapiens (human)
Lineage: Eukaryota; Metazoa; Chordata; Mammalia; Primates; Hominidae
Description: non-protein coding lnc-ZIC5-3:3
Source: RNAcentral
CGCGCUAGGACCUGGAGGGCUAGUCGGCGGGCUGCGCGUCCGGCCGCUAGCUGAGCUGGAGGCCACCGGCCAGAGCCGACCCCAGGAGUGAGAGAGACAGGGGCGUGCGUGAGUUCCGGCGGCCUGCACCGGGCAAACCCCGUACCUUCCCAGCAUCGGCUCAGCAACCCACGUGCAUCCAGGCCGGUCAAUGUCAUUGAGUCACCUCCGCGCCUUGGCCACCCUGGAGUCCCGAGAAUCCGAAGUUCCAGACAAAUGCCCAAACUACAUUCCUGCAUGUUCGAAAGCGUAAAUUGCAAAGCACAAAUCCAGUUGUAGAUUGUGGCCGGGAGCAGUGGCUCACGCCUAUAAUCCCAGCACUUUGGGAGGCCGAGGCGGACAGAUCACGAGGUCAGCACUUCGAGACCAGCAUGGCCAACAUGGUGAAGCCCCAUCUCUACUAAAAAUACAAACAUUAGCCAGGCAUGGUGGUAGGCCCCUGUAAUCCCAGCUACUCGGUAGGCUGAGGCAGGAGAAUCACUUGAACCCGGGAGGCAGAGGUUUCAGUGAGCUGAGACUGCACCAUUGCACUCCAGCCUGGGCGACAGACCAAGACUCCAUCUCAAAAAAAAAAAAAAAAAAGUUAUAGAUUGUAAGGAAAAUACCCCCAAGGAAGUUGAGGACACAGCAGACUUGGACUGUCUCCAAACCUGUUCAUUCUUCUGAGUGCACUGCUCGGAGCAUCCUAUUGGGCAGCAUAUCCUGGCCUCCUUUCCAGUUCGAUGUGGUACUAUACCUGAUUUCUGGCCAAUAAAAUAUGAGAGGACAUGAAAUUCAACAGCCCCUGGGCUUGGCUUAUAAAACCUUCCAUGCAAUCCUCCACACCUUUUCACCUCUCAGCUGCUGAGACUUUUCUAGGCACUACACAGAAGCAGCCUGGGUCUCCAGUAGCAAAGGAGAGCAGAUCCUUCUCACUAUCCUGCACCGAACUGUGACAUGAGCAAAAAAUAAAGUUUUUAUUUUCUUACACCAUUGAGAUUUGAGGAUUGCUAGAGCAGUUAGUCUUCCCAGCCUAAUACAGUAUUAGUAGAGGACAAUUAGGCCAGACACAGUAGCUUAUGCCUAUAAUCACAGCAGUUUAUAAGGCCGAGGUGGGCAGAUCACCUGAUGUCAGGAGUUUGAGACCAGCCUGGCCGACAUGGUGAAACCCCAGCUCUACAAAAAAUACGAAAAUUAGCCAAACAUGGUGGCACGUGCCUGUGAUCCCAGCUACUCAGGAAGCUGAGGCAGGAAAAUCUUCAAGCCAGGAGGCGGAGGUUGC